AAAAUGGUGUAAUAUACAACAUUUUAAUUAUAAAUAGGAAAGGAGACGCCAGUGCUUGGAGGCUCAGGAGAAGAUUCGACUUAAGGCAAUUGAAGACCGACACCAGAGGAUUAUAAAUCUUGAGGAACCCAUUGAUGGUGUGCCGAUCAAAUUUAAGUUUCCCAAUGGACUGGAAAGGAUUCGAAAGUUCAACUUGUCUGAGACAAUUCAAGUAUUAUUUGACUUUGUUGGUCAGGAUGACCUGUCCAGUGAAGUUUUCUAUGUUCAGGAAGCAACAUCAUCUACACCUCUUAAAAAUAAUCUUUCAGGAACACUGAAUGAUUACAACAUCAAGGGGUUUUCAACUCUGUACGUUGUUUGGACUUCAUCGGAGGAAGCACCUUCAUUAGCAUCGCCACAUGAGCCAUCUACUUCGGUACAGAGUGCUUGUCAUACUCCUUCACCACCACACUGGUCACCUGCACCUUCACCUCCACACUGGUCACCUGCUUCUUCACCUUCUUACACUUCUACUCACUGGUCACCUGUACAUUUUUCUCCCACUGAAGCAACCUCUGUGACAACAGAUAACUGUGAAUCUACUUCAGCUGAAUUUGAUCUGCAGAUGAUUUUGGAGAAGCUUCAUAGCAGAGUUGAUCUCUCUUCUUGUCCCACAAGCAACCAAAUCAAUGUAAUUCGAGACAACCUAUUACAGGGCAGCCUACAAGCUUUUAAACGAAGGCGUUUUAAUCCAGGAGCAAGGCUGGAUGUGGUUUUUGUGGAUUCUGAUGGGGUUGGUGAAGGAGCUGUAGACGAAGGUGGUCCCACCAGGGAAUACCUGCGUUUGCUGAUGAGGGAAAUUCAAACGUCAAGAAUUUUUGAAGGACCUGAAAAUAACAGAUUACUGGCUCUUGAUACUCAUGCUCUUGAGAACGGCUUGUACUCGACAAUUGGAAAAAUGAUUGCAGUCUGCAUAAUUCAUGGUGGCGUUGGACCUCAUUUUUUUUCUGAUCGUCUCUUUAUGCAACUCUUUGGAAAAUGUACACCUCCUGUCUCCCUUGAGGAAAUAGCAGACAGCUCCUUCAGAGAGAAACUCUUGAAGAUUAAAGAUGCAGACUCUGUUCAAAAAUCACAUGCUGCAAUCUCAGAUGCUGUGGACUGUCUGAGCAUGAUGGGAGCCUUAAGGUACAUCUCAUCUCUGGAAGAGAGAGAUUCCCUGGUCCAAUCUGCAGCAGAUUACUUUGUGAAUGGGCGGACAGUUUUGGCCC
Long non-coding RNA from Triplophysa rosa, 1247 nucleotides. RefSeq lists it as uncharacterized. Lineage: Eukaryota; Metazoa; Chordata; Actinopteri; Cypriniformes; Nemacheilidae. The transcript is spliced from 7 exons. The record is from RefSeq and is a predicted model, not a curated record.